Molecule: ribosomal RNA, 497 nt
Filed under: uncultured bacterium
Lineage: Bacteria
Description: partial 16S ribosomal RNA
Rfam family: Bacterial small subunit ribosomal RNA
Source: RNAcentral
GAUGAACGCUGGCGGCGUGCCUAAUACAUGCAAGUCGAGCGAACAGAUAAGGAGCUUGCUCCUUUGACGUUAGCGGCGGACGGGUGAGUAACACGUGGGUAACCUAUCUAUAAGACUGGAAUAACUCCGGGAAACCGGGGCUAAUGCCGGAUAACAUGUUGAACCGCAUGGUUCUACAGUGAAAGGCGGCUUUGCUGUCACUUAUAGAUGGACCCGCGCCGUAUUAGCUAGUUGGUGAGGUAACGGCUCACCAAGGCAACGAGACGUAGCCGACCUGAGAGAGUGAUCGGCCACACUGGAACUGAGACACGGUCCAGACUCCUACGGGAGGCAGCAGUAGGGAAUCUUCCGCAAUGGGCGAAAGCCUGACGGAGCAACGCCGCGUGAGUGAUGAAGGUCUUCGGAUCGUAAAACUCUGUUAUUAGGGAAGAACAAAUGCGUAAGUAACUGUGCGCGUCUUGACGGUACCUAAUCAGAAAGCCACGGCUAACUACGUG